This 483-nucleotide ribosomal RNA is filed under the name Treponema denticola. RNAcentral's name for it is "bacterial SSU rRNA". It matches the Rfam family "Bacterial small subunit ribosomal RNA", at positions 29 to 500 of the family's 1533-position model. Lineage: Bacteria; Pseudomonadati; Spirochaetota; Spirochaetia; Treponematales; Treponemataceae. The record is from RNAcentral.
AACGAACGCUGGCGGCGCGUCUUAAGCAUGCAAGUCGAACGGUAAGGGAGAGCUUGCUCUCCCCUAGAGUGGCGGACUGGUGAGUAACGCGUGGGUGACCUGCCCUGAAGAUGGGGAUAGCUAGUAGAAAUAUUGAUAAUACCGAAUGUGCUCAUUUACAUAAAGGUAAAUGAGGAAAGGAGCUACGGCUCCGCUUCAGGAUGGGCCCGCGUCCCAUUAGCUGGUUGGUGAGGUAAAGGCCCACCAAGGCAACGAUGGGUAUCCGGCCUGAGAGGGUGAACGGACACAUUGGGACUGAGAUACGGCCCAAACUCCUACGGGAGGCAGCAGCUAAGAAUCUUCCGCAAUGGACGAAAGUCUGACGGAGCGACGCCGUGUGAAUGAAGAAGGCCGAAAGGUUGUAAAAUUCUUUUGCAGAUGAAGAAUAAGAAGAAGAGGGAAUGCUUCUUUGAUGACGGUAGUCAUGCGAAUAAGCCCCGCUAA